GACUUGAAAUCGUGAGGUUUCAAGUCCCUCUAUCCCC
This 37-nucleotide transfer RNA is filed under the name Amorphophallus laoticus. RNAcentral describes it as "partial tRNA-Leu". Lineage: Eukaryota; Viridiplantae; Streptophyta; Magnoliopsida; Alismatales; Araceae. The record is from RNAcentral.